This 74-nucleotide small RNA is filed under the name Cronobacter sakazakii. RNAcentral describes it as "partial RtT sRNA". It matches the Rfam family "RtT RNA", at positions 58 to 130 of the family's 130-position model. From Rfam's summary of the family: This family represents a bacterial cis-regulatory element known as RtT RNA. Lineage: Bacteria; Pseudomonadati; Pseudomonadota; Gammaproteobacteria; Enterobacterales; Enterobacteriaceae. The record is from RNAcentral.
CGAGACAACGUUGCCGCAGGCAACGGCCCGAAGGGUGAGGAGCGAAGCGACGAAUAAUCCUUCCCCCACCACCA